AUUCAGCUGAGUCCCAAACAGGAUGAAAGGCGCGUCCUGGAU
RNAcentral lists this non-coding RNA (42 nucleotides) under Schistosoma mattheei. Lineage: Eukaryota; Metazoa; Platyhelminthes; Trematoda; Strigeidida; Schistosomatidae. The record is from RNAcentral.